AGGACGAACGCUGGCGGCGUGCUUAACACAUGCAAGUCGAGCGGAAAGGCCCUUCGGGGUACUCGAGCGGCGAACGGGUGAGUAACACGUGAGUAACCUGCCCCUAGCUCUGGGAUAGCUCCGGGAAACCGGGAUUAAAUACCAGAUACGACCACUUUAGACAUCUGUCGUGGUGGAAAGGAUUCCGGCUAGGGAUGGGCUCGCGGCCUAUCAGCUUGUUGGUGGGUAACGCUACCAAGGCGACGACGGUA
Molecule: ribosomal RNA, 251 nt
Filed under: uncultured bacterium
Lineage: Bacteria
Description: partial small subunit ribosomal RNA
Rfam family: Bacterial small subunit ribosomal RNA
Source: RNAcentral